AGUGGGGAAUUUUCCGCAAUGGGCGCAAGCCUGACGGAGCAAGACCGCGUGGGGGAGGAAGGCUCUUGGGUUGUAAACCCCUUUUCUCAGGGAAGAACACAAUGACGGUACCUGAGGAAUCAGCCUCGGCUAACUCCGUGCCAGCAGCCGCGGUAAUACGGAGGAGGCAAGCGUUAUCCGGAAUUAUUGGGCGUAAAGCGUCCGCAGGUGGUGGGGCAAGUCGGCGGUUAAAGACUGGGGCUUAACUCCAGAAAGGCCGUGGAAACUGCACCACUAGAGGGCAGUAGGGGUAGAGGGAAUUCCCGGUGUAGCGGUGAAAUGCGUAGAGAUCGGGAAGAACACCAGUGGCGAAAGCGCUCUACUGGACCGCAACUGACACUCAGGGACGAAAGCUAGGGGAGCGAAUGGGAUUA
RNAcentral lists this ribosomal RNA (413 nucleotides) under Enterococcus faecium. RNAcentral's name for it is "bacterial SSU rRNA". It matches the Rfam family "Bacterial small subunit ribosomal RNA", at positions 353 to 780 of the family's 1533-position model. The record is from RNAcentral. Lineage: Bacteria; Bacillati; Bacillota; Bacilli; Lactobacillales; Enterococcaceae.